Molecule: ribosomal RNA, 465 nt
Filed under: Vreelandella stevensii
Lineage: Bacteria; Pseudomonadati; Pseudomonadota; Gammaproteobacteria; Oceanospirillales; Halomonadaceae
Description: partial 16S ribosomal RNA
Rfam family: Bacterial small subunit ribosomal RNA
Source: RNAcentral
CCUACGGGUGGCAGCAGUGGGGAAUAUUGGACAAUGGGCGAAAGCCUGAUCCAGCCAUGCCGCAUGUGUGAAGAAGGCCUUCGGGUUGUAAAGCACUUUCAGUGGGGAAGAAAGCCUUGGGGCUAAUACCCUCGAGGAAGGACAUCACCCACAGAAGAAGCACCGGCUAACUCCGUGCCAGCAGCCGCGGUAAUACGGAGGGUGCGAGCGUUAAUCGGAAUUACUGGGCGUAAAGCGCGCGUAGGCGGUCUGAUAAGCCGGUUGUGAAAGCCCCGGGCUCAACCUGGGAACGGCAUCCGGAACUGUCAGGCUAGAGUGCAGGAGAGGAAGGUAGAAUUCCCGGUGUAGCGGUGAAAUGCGUAGAGAUCGGGAGGAAUACCAGUGGCGAAGGCGGCCUUCUGGACUGACACUGACGCUGAGGUGCGAAAGCGUGGGUAGCAAACAGGACUAGAUACCCUUGUAGUC